This 105-nucleotide microRNA precursor is filed under the name Canis lupus dingo (dingo). Its description in RNAcentral is "mir-8834 microRNA precursor family". It matches the Rfam family "mir-8834 microRNA precursor family". Lineage: Eukaryota; Metazoa; Chordata; Mammalia; Carnivora; Canidae. The record is from Rfam by way of RNAcentral.
AGGAGGAACAACCCCAGUGGCAGCGGCCAGCUCUGGAGCUCGUAUUCAGCUCCGGCAGUAACUGCAGAGCUCUCAGUCUGCAGGGUCUGGAGGUUCCUGGGCGGG